ACGCACUGCGACCCCA
RNAcentral lists this ribosomal RNA (16 nucleotides) under Loxodiscus coriaceus. RNAcentral describes it as "partial 26S ribosomal RNA". Lineage: Eukaryota; Viridiplantae; Streptophyta; Magnoliopsida; Sapindales; Sapindaceae. The record is from RNAcentral.